RNAcentral lists this ribosomal RNA (446 nucleotides) under Bacillus sp. J04C009Y. RNAcentral's name for it is "bacterial SSU rRNA". It matches the Rfam family "Bacterial small subunit ribosomal RNA", at positions 95 to 526 of the family's 1533-position model. The record is from RNAcentral. Lineage: Bacteria; Bacillati; Bacillota; Bacilli; Caryophanales; Bacillaceae.
GCGGCGGACGGGUGAGUAACACGUGGGCAACCUGCCUGCAAGACGGGGAUAACUCCGGGAAACCGGGGCUAAUACCGGAUAAUAUCUUUCUUCGCAUGAAGGAAGGUUGAAAGGCGGCGCAAGCUGCCGCUUGCAGAUGGGCCCGCGGCGCAUUAGCUAGUUGGUGAGGCAACGGCUCACCAAGGCGACGAUGCGUAGCCGACCUGAGAGGGUGAUCGGCCACACUGGGACUGAGACACGGCCCAGACUCCUACGGGAGGCAGCAGUAGGGAAUCUUCCGCAAUGGACGAAAGUCUGACGGAGCAACGCCGCGUGAGCGAAGAAGGUCUUCGGAUCGUAAAGCUCUGUUGUCAGGGAAGAACAAGUACCGUUCGAAUAGGGCGGUGCCUUGACGGUACCUGACCAAAAAGCCACGGCUAACUACGUGCCAGCAGCCGCGGUAAUAC